Linepithema humile (Argentine ant) is the source of this 1066-nucleotide non-coding RNA. The record is from RefSeq and is a predicted model, not a curated record. NCBI's taxonomy places the organism in Eukaryota, Metazoa, Arthropoda, Insecta, Hymenoptera, Formicidae.
GGACACAAAGAACUGAUUUUGAGGUAGAAUGUAAAAUUUGUCACAAGAACUUAACUCUUUUUAUAUGUAAUUAUUUGGAUCUUCAUAUAAGAAGGAGACAUUCGGAUAAAUUGAAAGAUACGCAAGAAACACAUGACACAGUUCGUUCCUCAGAACGCGUUUCAUCAUUUCAAACGGACACAACGUCUAUGUCAUUAACUAUUGUAACUAAAAAGAAUCUGUGGGACUAUUAUGUAGAACUGCCGGAUUUUAAUGCACAGUGCAUGUUUUGCAAAAAUAUAUAUAGUUAUAUAAAUUUUACUGACUUUAAAAUACAUAUAGCAAAAUGUCAUAGUAGUAUUUGGAAAUGUGAAGAAGAGAGAAAACUAAAUUUGCUAUGGAUAUAUUUCAAGUAUUUAAAUGAAUUAUAUUCGCAAUGUAUUAUCUGCGAUGCAAAUGUUUUGACUACAUCUGAAUCUGUAGUAAAUCACUUAAGUUUGCAUUCUGAUGAACAACUGCAAAAUUAUAUACUUCAAGAUUGGCCACAAAAAUAUUGGACCCUAAGAAGUAAUUUAAGGUAGAGUGUGAUAUUUGUAACAACAAAUUAUCUCUUUCUCUUCCAAGUUAUUUGGAUUAUCAUAUAAAAAUGGAACAUUGAAUUGAAACAUUCGCAAGGACACACGACACAGUUGAUUUGUUAGAACGCUUUCUAUAACUUGAAACGGAACAGUGUGCAUGUCACUAAUAGAUUUUUAAUUUUGAAGAAAUAUUGGUAUUUUUAAACUCUGGAUUGCUUUUGUGGAAGUACGUACAUACGUAAGAGUCAUGAUUUCGAAGUAGAGUGUAAUAUUUGUCACAGAAGCACAUUUGUUGCUGUCAGAACUUAUUUCAAUGACCAUAUUAAAGACGAACAUUAUUUGGCAAGCUAACUAAGUUGAAUAAAAGAAUGGCAAUUUCUCUUCCUCUGAAAGUUGACAAUGGGAUCGAUGUUAACGGCGUCUAUAUAGUAUUACUAUCUGCAACUAAGGUAGUCUUAUGUUUGACGAUUUUAGAUCACUAAAAGAUAUAUUCAAGAAUAGUGGCAUAU